RNAcentral lists this transfer RNA (54 nucleotides) under Loxosceles laeta. RNAcentral's name for it is "tRNA-Leu". Lineage: Eukaryota; Metazoa; Arthropoda; Arachnida; Araneae; Sicariidae. The record is from RNAcentral.
CAUUUUACUAUUUGGCAGAAUAUUGCAAUGGAUUUAGAAUCGAUUCAAACCCUC